CCUACGGGACGCACCAGUGGGGAAUUUUCCGCAAUGGGCGAAAGCCUGACGGAGCAAUGCCGCGUGGAGGUAGAAGGCCCACGGGUCGUGAACUUCUUUUCCCGGAGAAGAAGCAAUGACGGUACCCGUAGAAGAAGCCCCGGCUAACUUCGUGCCAGCAGCCGCGGUAAUACGAAGGGGGCUAACGUUGCUCGGAAUGACUGGGCGUAAAGGGCGCGUAGGCGGUUUAUGCAGUCAGAUGUGAAAUCCCCGGGCUUAACCUGGGAACUGCAUUUGAGACGCAUAGACUAGAGGUCGAGAGAGGGUUGUGGAAUUCCCAGUGUAGAGGUGAAAUUCGUAGAUAUUGGGAAGAACACCGGUGGCGAAGGCGGCAACCUGGCUCGAUACUGACGCUGAGGCGCGAAAGCGUGGGGAGCAAACAGGAUUAGAUACCCGAGUAGUC
Molecule: ribosomal RNA, 442 nt
Filed under: uncultured bacterium
Lineage: Bacteria
Description: bacterial SSU rRNA
Rfam family: Bacterial small subunit ribosomal RNA
Source: RNAcentral